AACGAACGCUGGCGGCAUGCCUUACACAUGCAAGUCGAACGGCAGCACGGAGCAAUCCUGGUGGCGAGUGGCGAACGGGUGAGUAAUAUAUCGGAACGUGCCCAGUCGUGGGGGAUAACGUAGCGAAAGCUACGCUAAUACCGCAUACGAUCUAUGGAUGAAAGCGGGGGAUCGCAAGACCUCGCGCGAUUGGAGCGGCCGAUAUCAGAUUAGGUAGUUGGUGAGGUAAAGGCUCACCAAGCCGACGAUCUGUAGCUGGUCUAAGAGGA
This 269-nucleotide ribosomal RNA is filed under the name uncultured bacterium. RNAcentral describes it as "partial 16S ribosomal RNA". It matches the Rfam family "Bacterial small subunit ribosomal RNA", at positions 29 to 300 of the family's 1533-position model. The record is from RNAcentral.